CAAUAGCGUAUAUUAAAGUUGUUGCAGUUAAAAAGCUCGUAGUUGGACCUUGGACUUGGACAGGCGGUCCGCCUCACGGCGUGUACUGUCUUGCUGGGUCUUUCCUCUUGGUGAUCUGUUGUUUCGGCAGCAGGGAACCAGGACUUUUACUUUGAAAAAAUUAGAGUGUUCAAAGCAGGCUCGACGCCGGAAUAUAUUAGCAUGGAAUAAUAAAAUAGGACGUGCGGUUCUAUUUUGUUGGUUUUUGGAAUCGCCGUAAUGAUUAAUAGGGACAGUCGGGGGCAUUAGUACUCACAUGCUAGAGGUGAAAUUCUUGGAUUUUGUGAAGACUAACUUCUGCGAAAGCAUUUGCCAAGGAUGUUUUCAUUAA
This 370-nucleotide ribosomal RNA is filed under the name uncultured eukaryote. RNAcentral's name for it is "partial 18S ribosomal RNA". It matches the Rfam family "Eukaryotic small subunit ribosomal RNA", at positions 592 to 976 of the family's 1831-position model. The record is from RNAcentral.